Haliotis rubra (blacklip abalone) is the source of this 146-nucleotide long non-coding RNA. RefSeq lists it as uncharacterized. The transcript has 3 exons. The record is from RefSeq and is a predicted model, not a curated record. Lineage: Eukaryota; Metazoa; Mollusca; Gastropoda; Lepetellida; Haliotidae.
UCUAUCUUAAUAUUAGACGUUAACGGCCGCUCAUUCCUAGUACAUGGCAGACAGUCUGUCAACGUAACCCAAUAAUUCGAGUUAUCUCCCUUUUCGAGUCCCUCGAGUCCUAGAAAAUAGACUCGAGGGAUUUAAAUGGGCUUCAC